RNAcentral lists this ribosomal RNA (467 nucleotides) under uncultured bacterium. Its description in RNAcentral is "partial 16S ribosomal RNA". It matches the Rfam family "Bacterial small subunit ribosomal RNA", at positions 28 to 506 of the family's 1533-position model. The record is from RNAcentral.
GACGAACGCUGGCGGCGUGCUUAACACAUGCAAGUCGAACGGAAAGGCCCUGCUUUUGUGGGGUGCUCGAGUGGCGAACGGGUGAGUAACACGUGAGUAACCUGCCCUUGACUUUGGGAUAACUUCAGGAAACUGGGGCUAAUACCGGAUAGGAGCUCCUGCUGCAUGGUGGGGGUUGGAAAGUUUCGGCGGUUGGGGAUGGACUCGCGGCUUAUCAGCUUGUUGGUGGGGUAGUGGCUUACCAAGGCUUGGACGGGUAGCCGGCCUGAGAGGGUGACCGGCCACAUGGGGACGGAGAUACGGCCCAGACUCCUACGGGAGGCAGCAGUGGGGAAUAUUGCACAAUGGGCGGAAGCCUGAUGCAGCAACGCCGCGUGCGGGAUGACGGCCUUCGGGUUGUAAACCGCUUUCGCCUGUGACGAAGCGUGAGUGACGGUAAUGGGUAAAGAAGCACCGGCUAACUACGG